GCAUUAAGUAAUCCACCUGGGAAGUACGACCGCAAGGUUGAAACUCAAAGGAAUUGGCGGGGGUCCGCACAAGCGGAGGAGCAUGUGGUUUAAUUCGAUGAUACGCGAGGAACCUUACCUGGGCUAGAAUGCAGUCUGACCGUGGAGAAAAGCUCAUUUCGUAGCUCUACGCAGAUUGUAAGGUGCUGCAUGGUUGUCGUCACCUCGCGCCGUGAGGUGUUGUGUAAGUCCCGGACGAGCGCAACCACGAUCAUUAGUUGCAAGAGGUGAAGCUGGGAACUCUAAGUGAAACUGCCGUCGCAGACACGAGGAGG
RNAcentral lists this ribosomal RNA (314 nucleotides) under Sediminibacterium sp. DJM6. RNAcentral's name for it is "bacterial SSU rRNA". It matches the Rfam family "Bacterial small subunit ribosomal RNA", at positions 857 to 1172 of the family's 1533-position model. Lineage: Bacteria; Pseudomonadati; Bacteroidota; Chitinophagia; Chitinophagales; Chitinophagaceae. The record is from RNAcentral.